CUCAGAGUGAACGCUGGCGGUAGUCCUAAUACAUGCAAGUCGAACGGCAGCACAGGAGAGCUUGCUCUCUGGUUGGCGAGUGGCGGACGGGUGAGGAAUACAUCGGAAUCUACCUUUUCGUGGGGGAUAACGUAGGGAAACUUACGCUAAUACCGCAUACGACCUACGGGUGAAAGUGGGGGACCGCAAGGCCUCACGCGAUUAGAUGAGCCGAUGUCCGAUUAGCUAGUUGGCGGGGUAAUGGCCCACCAAGGCGACGAUCGGUAGCUGGUCUGAGAAGAUGAUCAGCCACACUGGAACUGAGACACGGUCCAGACUCCUACGGGAGGCAGCAG
Molecule: ribosomal RNA, 335 nt
Filed under: Anophryoides haemophila
Lineage: Eukaryota; Ciliophora; Oligohymenophorea; Philasterida; Glauconematidae
Description: partial Bacterial small subunit ribosomal RNA
Rfam family: Bacterial small subunit ribosomal RNA
Source: RNAcentral